ACCUGGCUGACUCAGUUGGUAGAGCAUGCGACUCUUGAUCAUGGGGUCAUGAGUUCAAGCCCCAUGUUGGGUG
Molecule: transfer RNA, 73 nt
Filed under: Ailuropoda melanoleuca (giant panda)
Lineage: Eukaryota; Metazoa; Chordata; Mammalia; Carnivora; Ursidae
Rfam family: tRNA
About the family: Transfer RNA (tRNA) molecules are approximately 80 nucleotides in length.
Source: Rfam by way of RNAcentral